Molecule: ribosomal RNA, 467 nt
Filed under: uncultured bacterium
Lineage: Bacteria
Description: partial 16S ribosomal RNA
Rfam family: Bacterial small subunit ribosomal RNA
Source: RNAcentral
GACGAACGCUGGCGGCGUGCUUAACACAUGCAAGUCGAACGGAAAGGCCUCUUUCGGGGGGUACUCGAGUGGCGAACGGGUGAGUAACACGUGAGUAACCUGCCCUUGACUUUGGGAUAACUUCAGGAAACUGGGGCUAAUACCGGAUAGGAGCUCCUGCUGCAUGGUGGGGGUUGGAGAGUUUCGGCGGUUGGGUAUGGACUCGCGGCUUAUUCGCUUUUUGGUGGGGUAGGGGCUUACCAAGGAUUUGCCGGGUAGCCGGCCUGAGAGACUGAACGGCGACAUUGGGUCUCAGAUAAGGCCCAGAAUCCUACUGGUGGCAGCUGUGGGGAAUAUUGCACAAGGGGUGGCAGCCUGAUGCAGCAACGCUGUGUGCGGGAUGACGGUGUUCGGGUUGUAAACCGCUUUUGCUCAGGCCGAAUCGUUGUGUGACGGUAGUGGGCAAAGAAGCACCGGCUAACUACGUG